This is a long non-coding RNA of Orcinus orca (killer whale), 6198 nucleotides long. RefSeq lists it as uncharacterized. The record is from RefSeq and is a predicted model, not a curated record. NCBI's taxonomy places the organism in Eukaryota, Metazoa, Chordata, Mammalia, Artiodactyla, Delphinidae. The transcript has 3 exons.
AGGUAGAAUGUCAACUGUUUUCUUUCAGCUUCAAGAGUUUUACAUUCUCCACUUUGCGUCUAAUCAUUAUUAAAAGCAAACAAGUGUGUUGACCAUUCUGUGUGCACUUUCUCAAGCGGCAAAUGAAUCUUGGUUAUCCAUCCCCUUUGCCAUUACUGAUGCAGCUGCCUGGGUGCCAGGAAAGAAAUUGGGUUUUCUUCUUGUCAAAGUCGUGUUUGUUCACUUGCUUCUGACCUCUGCUACAUCCUUCCCCACCGAGGAACAGAUGCUCCCGCGCUCGGCAGCAGCUGAGGGGUGAGAAGGUGACGCCAGCCAGGAGACCGUCCUCCGUGUCUCAAGCUUGUCUUCAACUGAAGUUCAUCCUCAUCUAUUCCAGGCUCUGCUUCAGUCACAGCACAGCCUCCUGUUCACAAGACCGGUUCACAGAGAGGGUUUCUGAAAGCCAAGCAAAGUAGGGGCGAUAUAUUUGAGAAUUUUGUCCCACCUGAAGUCAUGUAGUUAUGCUGAGAUAGUGUUUUGAGCUUGAGCCUGUAUAUUAGUUGCUGGAAUCCAAAUGAAAAAUUAAGCGAAUGAGAGACCCCAGAAAGUCUUCCCCUUCCUCUUCCCCUCCCUCUCCUUCUCUUUCUCCUUCUCCUUUGUUAUCUCCAUCUUCUCCUUCAUUUUUGCCAUCAUCAGGAAAAGCAUACUUUUCUUAUCUGUUCUAAUUGAUUCAUUGUGUCUCUCCUUCCACUACACUCUAAGUUCCUUGAGGGUAGAGGGCAAAACUGUCUUAUUCAUCCAUGUAUUCCUUGCACAAAUAUUAGAAACUGAAUGAAUAUUUGUUAAGUGAAUUAACAGAUGGGCUUUUGAAAGUCAAUGAGAUUAAGACAACUAGGAUAACUGAAUUAACCUUUGUAAGUUGGUUUUUGUGUCAUGGCUGGGUUACAGCCCUGUGAAGAGACAGCCUCUGUGUGAUGUAAAGCAGGUAGACAUUACAAUCAGAAUGCUCUUCUCUCAAAUCUAUCUCUUCCUUUACUGCUGUUCUGACUUGGGAUAAAUGGUCCAUCUUCUUUUUUAAAAUAUGGGUCUGAUGAGAUGAUUGCAUAAAGUAGUCAGUUUCUGGCAUGUAGCAGUUUUUCCAUCAGUACGAUUUCCUUUUGCCAGGUAUAAUGAUGUUUCCCUUUAAUUGGCAGUUAUGCCCAUCAUCUCUUCUGCGGGUGCUGCCAGGAAGCUCAGGUCUGAAGCACGCUCUGGGCUUCUGUUUCUAAGGCUAGUCCGUUAUUUUCUAGUGUUCAUUUUGAUCUUAUUUGAAUAGACUCAUUGUAGCUGGAAUGUUUACUCUAAGCAGCUUCACACCGCUUUGGAGGGUGCUCAUUGUUUGGUAUAAUGUGUGUGAAUGUAACUGCUCAUCAUUAUUCAUCCCUGCUUGCGCAAUUUUAGUAUUAUACGAUACAGCCAAAAGACAGAAUGUUCCCAUCAUUUCAUCACUUCGAUGAAGGGAGGAAUCAGCUGGGAAUGGAAGCUCCUGGUACCGUUGGUUUCCCCUUUGCUAUCAGCUGAUGGGCAGCAGGCUUGACAAAGUCCACAAGCUGAACCGGAAAACCUCUUGCAGCAAGAAACCUCCGAUGGCUCAAAUGGAUUAACUACUUCUGAGCAUUAGAGACUGAGAUGAAUCCUCCAGUAGAAAAUCUCAUUACAGAUGGUCCGGAGCCAGGCAGAUUAGAAUGCUUACUGUUCCAGCGCUAGGACACGUUUAGAGGUGAGAAAGAUAAAAACAUUUCUUUCUUAAGUGGACGAUUUCCCAGAAGGUAAUAGGAAAGGAGUCUAAAUCAUGGUUAAAAAAGAAAAAGAAUACAUUAUCUGUUUGAUGUUUACCCAUUGGAAGAUCUUACAAGUUAAGAAGAAAGUAAUAUCUUUGAGGGGGUUCACAUUUAAAAUCAGUUAUGAACAAAAUCUGAUGGUAUUGAGUGUUUGCAUUAGAUAAGCUCCCCAAAGCCUAAUUCUCAAAGAUCUUACAUUUCCAUUAGUUUUCCUUUCUACCAUUCUACCAAUGUAACAAAAAGAGUGCUGGACAGCUGCUUAUUAACUUUGCAACCUUGAGCAAUUCACAGAAACCAUGUCUAGGCAUCCUACUGUUUAUUUGUAAAGUGAGAGAGUUAAUCCUUCUCUUCUCUUCCUACUGUUCCCGUCCUGUUUCGGGUCCUCAAUAUUGCUUCUCAAGGCAAUCUCAAAAACUAUCCUUCCUGUAGAGUAUUACCCUUUCCGGUCAACUCUUCACAUCGCUCCUGGAAUUAUUUUUUGGCAAAUGAAAAUGUGACUUUUUUUGCAAAACCUUGAUCUUUGACUAGGGCAGAGGUCUCCUUCAACUGCCACCUCUCUGCCAGCACUGGUCAUUACAAAUAGGGUCAUGUGGUAUUUAAGAAUAAAAUUUGCAUUAGUUGCUCUGUCAGUUAAGUGCUCAUGCAAUACCCCUGGGUGCUGUGAUACUUCCUAGUCUUCCUCUAAGUUAUAUUGAGGGCAAGUGACUCAUUCCAGCUAAUGAACGUCUGCUGCCAAGGUGGUUAAGCAGCAGCGUACUUCCUCCUCUCUUGCUUCAAUGACCUGGAAGACCGUGAGAUUCUGUUGACAAAAGUACAAAAAGGAAGAGAGAUGUUCUACCCAUAUUGGACUUGGUAGGAGUGAGAAAAGAGCUGUCAUUAGGUUAUACCAUUGAGCAUUGGGGGCCUCUUUGUUUUCACAGCACAGCACAGCAUAGCCUGACUAAUAAAGUUGCUAACAUUUAAAAAGUCACAGAAAAUCUUGAUUCUGAGCUUUAAUGAAAAGCUAGAAAAUCUCUGACACUGGGUUUGAACACCCAGAAGGCAGCAAUGUGCUGCCCCUUGUGCCCACUGGGACUUGUGCUCUCAUCCACUUUGUCUUUUCCCUUCUCCUCUUAUUUUCAUUAUCUGUCCAGCUAUUGUUCUAUGUAUUUGAGUUUGUAGCCCCUGGCUACAGUUCAAGACACAGUUCAAACCCUCAAGUGUGGCAUAAUGCAUCUUUCAUGAUUUGGGCUUAUUUGUCCCUGCGACCAUAAAAUCCAGCGCCAAAUGCACCCCCGAUAUUGAAUAAUUUGAAGUUGCUCAAAGGUUUCAUUGCAUUCCAUGCCUCUGCUAUUUGGAAUAUUCUGGUCUCUUUGCCAGGAGUAUCCUUCCUGAAUUGUUCAUUUUUCAAUACCCGGUUCCUAUUUUACCUUUUUGGGAAAUCUCUCCAAUGCCAGUCUUGUAUUUCUCCCGAAAGAUUUCUCCAUUCUAACACUUAAUCUUUUGUUCUGUCUUAUUUAUCUUUGAAUUCUCAAAUCCCAGUACAGUGCCUGACACGGUGGAGGGGCACACUCCAUGCUAAUGCGGAAGCUGUUGAAGUAUAGGAUUUAUUUUUCAAAUCUCAAAGCAACCUGUUCACGUGUUAACAAUUCAAAUAACACAGAAAAACUCAUGGUGGAAUGAAUAUUCCCCCCUUUUCACUUUAGAGCCACUACUCAGAAACAGCCUCUUUUUCAUACAAUUUCCGCUUUUAUUUAUUCUAUUGUUGGCCUCCAUUACCCUAAGUACAAUGUUAGAAACUGUAUUUCUUUUUUUUUUUUUUUUUUUGCGGGACGCGGACCUCUCCCUGCUGUGGCCUCUCCCGUCGCGGAGCACAGGCUCCGGACGCGCAGGCUCAGCGGCCAUGGCUCACGGGCCCAGCCGCUCCGCGGCACGUGGGAUCUUCCCGGACCGGGGCACGAACCCGUGUCCCCUGCCUCGGCAGGCGGACUCCCAACCACUGCGCCACCAGGGAAGCCUGGAACUGUAUUUCUUGCUUUACUGUUCUUCCUCCUCCCUAUCCUCUUCCCAGCAUUUGAUGGUGCUAUUCCUGUGCUUUACAUUCUGUCAGUUGCCUUUAUAACUCUAAGAAAAAGCUCAAAUUCCUUUUUGUUUCUGUUCCUUUGAUAGCGUCUCUUAAAGCUAGCGUCUCCUUUCCUUUCCUCCCCUUCUCCCUCCCCCCUCCCCCAUAGCCUCAUUCUGCAGACUACACUUUCUGCUGACAAGGAUGUUCAUUAUGUAUAUUACAUUUUCACCCUAAUCUGGUCUUCCCUGAUUGAUUUAUUCAUUCAGCUCAAUUCCUUUGUUCUUAAAGCAACACCAGGUGCCCACCCCAAACAUUCGUACUUAUGUCUCCCCACCCCCAAUACACAUCUCCUUCCCAGGCAACCCAUUGCUCACCUGUCCUUCAAAAGCAAAGAAAAACCUUUUUCUGCUGUGAAAGCUUCCAGCCAGAUCUGUUUUGUCCUCCUUUCUCUACUAUUUCCUAAAUUAUCAUGAAAGUACAUCAUGAAAGCUGAGAGCUGGGUCAGGGACUGUCCCAGGCACUCUGUGUAGGAAAAGAAAUAUAGUUGUGCAAGCUAGGGAAAUCAGGAGUCAAAAUUUUUCUUUGUGGACACAGAUUAGACUUAAUGGGCUGAAUUAGUCAAUCUAGAAAUGGACCUGUUUUAGAGCCAGGUCUAUCAUUUUUUAACCAUGUGGUAUUUUUGAAGCAUAAUUCUGCAGUCCUUACACUUCAGAGCUGUCAGUCUCCCUGAGGAAGCAGCCAGUGUAAGGGAGGGAUGCAUAAUCAUAAGCACUUUAAUGUUUGCAGUGUAAUUAGCCCAGCAUCGGUAGGUUGGAGUCUUGCGUUCCUGAUCCAGAACUAGCAAUUGUUGGCUGGAAAACAUCAAACAAGUGGGCUUAAUGUCUUUCUGAACUUCUUCAAUACUUGAGAAGUUUGGAUGCAAUUACUUUCAGGGUCAUUUCAAACCUUAGUCUCCAAUAAUAUCACUCCCCUGGUAAAGAUGUUGUGGUCUCCUUAUUCAUUUCUGCUAUCAGAGUCACCUGUUGUACCCAUCUAUGAAGGGACUCUUUGGUGACUUUCUUAAUGAAUAUCUGUCUUUUAAUCUACCUGGCAUUUAUUCUCUCUCCUUCUAGUAAUCUAAUUCUGAUUUUCCAUGGAGGCAUACCCUAUACAUCUGCACGUGUGACCUUGAUGGAGUUGACCACAACCUCUAACUCUAGCACUAUGCCCAACAGAGCUCAAGUCUGCAUACUCUCUGACCCAGGCCUUCUCUGACGCUGCAGGAACCUUCUUAGCCUGAAGGCAAGUGCAGUCCAGAAGCGUGGGCAGGAUCCUGUAGCUGAAUCCUUCAGCCUCCUUACCCUUCAGUGGACGAAUCUGAGGGGCGUGAUCAUGUCCCAGCAGACUUGACAAAUAGAGAUGGGUCUCUGGAUUUAGACAUAGAUGGGGGGAUCACAUACUUGAAGGUGAGAAUUGAAAAUAUGUGAUGGGUGAGACCACCCAGGGAUAGAUGGCAAGGUGAACACACAAAGGCAUAAAUAAACAGAUGUAUUAGAAGUUCUUUGAAGUCAUUAAAUGAUAGUUAAUGUGCUUGGGGGAAAGCAAUCCAAAUUAGAUGUUUACGAUAAUAGACUCUAAGAAAUGAGGUCUUGUUCUUUGAAGAUUUCAUCCCAAUGAACUACAGGUCAAAGUGGUCCCCAGAACAGAGAUAAAACGAAGCAGGGAAUGACACCGCAAUUUCUCCCAUAUUAUGGGCUAUGCACUUUGUAGCUGGACCUUAGUGAGAGCAUUAUAGAGCAGAAGGAUGCAAAGAGAGAAAGGACGUGCUCAGAGUACUUAUGCUGGGCUAGGCAUCACACACACCAUGUGCCACUUUAUCUUGGGGCCACCCUAGGAGAUAGGUGCUGUUGUCAUAUCCCUUUUAUAGGGAAAGGGGCAAGUGACAGAAGCCAAGAUUCUGCCUGAUGCUAAAGUCUUCACAUCUCUACUGUGAUGAUUAUGCUAUGUAGUCUUUUUUGUGGAUAUCCUACACUUUCUUGUAGAACAAUAAUUUGUACACAUGUUUUAUCCUCCAUGCAUGCUGCUGGUGGCAGAUUCCAAACGUAUUUUCUAAUUAUGAAUUAUGCAACCUAGCAUAGUACAUUAUGAGUGAAAUUUGAUUAAUAAUUGUCUAUGAAGAAGGGAAGUUCUAUUGAAUAAAUGUUGGCUAGAUCAUAGAUUGAGCCCUCAUGAUUGUAAUAAGUUGGACUGUUGUUGAGCAUUAUCUAUUCCCCUCAUCCACUCACUGUGGUUAGAGUACAUUUCCUACCCAUUAAUGUUGGGUUUGGCCAUGUGACCUAUUUUGACUCUGGGAUGUUAAUACACAUGAAACAAACA